AAUUAAUGAGCUUGUUAUAUAAGCAUUUGUUUUGAAAACUUAAGAAAGAAUAAUAAUUCUAUUAAUUU
This 68-nucleotide transfer RNA is filed under the name Blenina donans. Its description in RNAcentral is "tRNA-Ser". Lineage: Eukaryota; Metazoa; Arthropoda; Insecta; Lepidoptera; Nolidae. The record is from RNAcentral.